RNAcentral lists this transfer RNA (102 nucleotides) under Rohdeia mirabilis. RNAcentral describes it as "Planctomycetes bacterium Pla163 tRNA-Gly". The record is from RNAcentral. Lineage: Bacteria; Pseudomonadati; Planctomycetota; Planctomycetia.
CGCCGUCGCCGUAGGCCAGGGCAGCGAUCGCGCCGUUGCCGCCGGCGCACAGGGUCUCGGCCUGGGACCAGCCGGCGCGUUCGGCCGAGUCGGCGGCGACCA